AAAAAAAAACACAUAUUCAAGCAGAAAUCAGGGGCGCCUGGGUGGCUCAGUCAGUUAAGCAUUUACCUUCAGCUCUGGUCAUGAUCCCAGGGUCCUGGGAUCAAAGCCCCGCAUCAGACUCCUGGCUCAGCAGGGGGACUGCUCUUCCCUCAGCCUCUCGUCCUGCUCGUACUUUCUCUUUCUCAAAUAAAUCUUUUUUAAAAAUAAAAAUAAAACAAAAAUUAUUGAAUUUUAAAAUAGAGUUGGUAAAUUCAUAGUCAUUUUUUAAAAAAGGAAUAAAGUAGUCAAAGAGAAAAAAGAAAAACAUCCAAAAUUGGAAAUGAACAAGGGGAUACAACAAAUGUAUGUUAUAAGAAAGUACUGUGUGGAACUAGGCUAAUGAAUUUGCUCCUCAGUAAAAUAGGUGAUUUUCUGGUAAAAAGAAAAAAAAAAUAUAUGUGAAUAAAACCAAAAUUAUCAAAAAAAAAAAAAAAAACCAAAAUUAUCUCUUUUUUUAAAAGAUUUUAUUUUUAUUUAUUAAUGAGAGACACAGAGAGAGAGAGGCAGAGACACAGGCAGAGGGAGAAGCAGGCUCCAUGCGGGGAGCCUGACAUGGGACUCAAUCCGGGGACCCCAGGAUCACGCCCUGGGCCGAAAGGCUUACCUAUGAGCUUGUUUUGUUUGUUAAGAUUCUACAUAUAAGUGAGAUCAUAUGGUAUUUGUCUCUCUCUGUCAGACUUAUUCCACUUAGCAUAAUGGCCUCAAGUUCCAUCCAUGUUGUUUUGGCAAGAUUUCAUUAUUUUUAAAAGCUGAAAAAUAUUCUGUCAUGUGCAUGUACACUCGUGUAUGUAUCUCACAACAUAUAUGUGAUUAUAUAUAUAUAUGUAUAUAUAAACAUAUAUAUUACAACUUUAAAAUUCUAUCUUAUGGCUGAAUAAUAUUCUAUUGCAUAUGUAUAUCACAAUAUAUGUGAGAUAUAUAUAUAUAUAUAUAAAACAAUUUUUUUAAUCUGUUCAUCCAUCAGUGGACAUUUAGGUUGUUCCCAUAUGUUGGCUAUUGGAAAUAAUGCUGCAGUGAACAUGGUGGACACAUAUAUCUUUUUGAGCUAGUGUUUUCAUUUUCUUCAGAUAAACACUCAGAAGUGGCUGCACCAAUUUAUAUUCCUACCAACAGGGCACAAAGGUUCCCUUUUCUCCAUAUCCCUGGAAUAAAUCCUACUUGAUCAUGAUGGGUGAUCCUUUUAAUGUAUUGUUGAAUUCACUUUGCUAAUACUUUGUUUAGGAUUUUUGCAUCUUUGUUUAUCAGGAAAUUAGACUUUAAUUUUCUUUUCUUGUGGUGUCCUUGUCUGAUUUUGAUAUCAGAUAAUGCUGGCCUUUGUUAAAUGGGUUUGGAAAUGUUCCCUCCUGUUUUUUGGAAGAAUUUAAUAAGAAUUAGUAUUAAUUCUUUGAAUAUUUGGUAGAACUUACCAGUGAAGCUGUUUUGUCCUGGAAUUUUGCUUGUGGGUGGUGUUUAAAUUACUGAUUCAAUCUCCUUACUAGUAAUUAGUCUCUUGAGAUUUUUGUAUUCAUGAUUCAGUCUUGGAAGAUUGUAUGUUUCUGGGAAUUUAUUUCUUUUAUGUUGUCCAAUUUGUUGAUAUGUAAUUGUAUAGAUUGUAUGGUCUUUUGUGAUCAUUUGUAUUUCUGUGGUAUCAGUUGUAACAUCCCUUUCAUUUCUGAUUUUAUUUAUUGGGGCCUUUUCUCUUUUUUUUCUUAGUGAAUCUAGAUAAAGGUUUAUCAAUUUUGUUUACCUUUUCAAAAACCAGCUCUUGGUUUCAUUGAUUUUUUUUUUUCUAUUUUUACUCUCUAAUUUAUUUCUGCUCUUAUCUUUAUUUUCUUUUUUCUUGUAAUUUUGGACUUCAUUUGUUCUUUUUCUUUCUAGUUCCUUGAGGUGUAAAGUUAGGUUGUUUGAGAUUUUUCUUCUUUCUUAAAAUAGGCAUUUUAUCACUGUGAACUUCCCUUUAAUAACUGCUUUUGCUACAUCCUGUAAGUGUAUCCCAUCCCAGCGUAUGUUGUAUUUCCAUUUGUCUCAAGGUGUAUUUUGCUUUUGAUUUCUUCGUUGACCCAUUGGUUGUUCAGUAGCAUGUUGUUUAAUCUCCACAUAUUUGUGAAUUUUCUAGUCGUCUUGUGAUUGAUCUCGAGUUUCAUACCAUUGUGAUUGGAAAAGAUGCUUAAUAUGAUUUCAGUCUUUUUAAAAAUUUGUGAAGACUUGUUUUAUGGCCUAAUAUAUGUCUAUCCUAGAGAGUAUUCCAUAUAUACUUGAGAAGAAUGUGUAUCUGUUGCUUUGGGAUGGACAGUUCUGUAUAUAUCUGUUAAGUUCAUCUGGUCUAAGUUUUGUUUAAAGCUGAUAUUUCCUUAUUGAUUUUCUGUCUGGAUGAUCUAUUAAUUUAUGUGAGUUAUAUAUUAAAGUCAUCAACUAUUGUAUUGCUAUCAUUCUCCUUGUAGGUCUGUUAAUAUUUGCUUUAUAUAUUUAGAUGCUCCCAUGUUGCAGGCAUAAAUAUUUACAUAUGUUAUAGCUUCUUAUUGGAUUGAUCUCUUUAUCAUUAUGUAAUGUCCUGCUUUAUCUCUUAUUGCAGUCUUUAUUUUAAAGUCGUUUUAUCUGAUAUAAGUAUAGCUGCCCUGGCUUUCCUUUGGUUUCCAUUUGCAUGGAACAUCUCUUUUUAUCCCUUCCUUUUCAAUCUGUGUAUGUCCUUACAUCUGAAGUGAGUCUAUGGUAGGCAGCAUAUAGAGGCAACCGCUCUAGGUUUUUUGAUUGGAGAAUUUUGUCCGUUUACAUUUAAAGUAAUUAUUGUGGCAAAAAAAAAUCCAUAACAUAAAGUUUGCCAUCUCAACCAUUUUUAAGUGUACAGCUGAGUAGUGUUAAGUACUCAUAUUCUUGUGAAACAGAUCUCCAGAACUUUUUUAUCUUUAAAACUAAAACUCUGUACCCAUUGAACCACAUCUCUUUCCCCCACCCCCAGGUGACCACCCCUCUAUUUUCUGUCUUAAUGAGUUUGUCUCUUUGGAUACCUCAUAUAAAUGGAAUCAUACAAUAUUUGUCUUUUUAUGACUGGUUUGUUUUACUUACCAUAAUGUCAUGAAGGAUCAUCCAUGUUGUAGCAUCUGUCAGAAUUUCCUUCCUUUUUGAGGCUGUAUAAUAUUCCAUUAUAUGUAUAUAUCACAUCUUGUUUAUCUACUCAUCCAUUGAUAACACUUGGGUUGCCUCCACUUCUUGGCUUGUGAAUAGUGCUGCUGUGGACUUUGGUGUUUAAAUAUCUCUUGCUAUUUUAACUGUUGUUGAGCAUAGAAAGUUAAGAAAAUCAACAUAACUCAUUUUUAUGAAUACAACCUAAUAAAUCAUAUACAUACACACAUACACACACUUCACCUAAGCUUGGUAAUACAGAUGCCUAAGUCCUAAAUAAAGCACUAACAAAUUUAUCAAUAUAGUAAAGGAACAUUAACUACCAGCAUUUGUUGUCCAUCCUAUGAUACCUUAGAACUUAGAACACAUUAGAACUUGCCCAUGAUGCUAAGCUAGUAAGUGGUAGGCUAGGAUAUCAACCCAGGUCUGCCCAGCUCCAGAGCCCUGAUGCAUUUGGUGAGUUUGUUGAGAACAUAACGAUGGCCCCAUAAAAGAAAUCCCCUAAUAUCAUAUUUCACAGAAGUAGGUCAAAGGAAAAAAACAAACCUAAGAGUCUCUCAUGGAUAAUAAAAUAUUUGAAGAUGAAAAUCAACAUUUAUUCUUUAUUUUUGAAACUUCCCUAAUAAAUUAGGGGAGAAAAAAGAAGUUUCAUUAACAUGAUAAGUCUAAAAGAACAUGAAGCAUUAUUCUUUUUUUUUAAACUUUAAUUCUAGUAGAGUUAACAUACUGUAUUACAUUAUUUUCAGGUGCACAAUAAUGAUUCAACACACCAACAUGCAUCAUUCUUUUUUUAAAAGAUUUUAUUUAUUUAUUCUAGAGAGAACAUGAGAGAGUACCAGUGGUAGGGAGGGGAGGAGCAGAGGGAGAGGGAGAAGCAGACUUCCUACUAAGCAGGGAGCUGGACACAGACUGAUCCCAGGACCCCAGGAUCACGACCUGAGCCAAAGGCGGAUGCUUAACUGAGCCACCUAGGUACCCCCAUCAUGCAUCAUUCUUAACAAAAAAAUAAUGUCAGAUAAGGCAGACCCAUUCUAGCCACUAUUAUGUCAUGGCGUCCUGAAAGGAUAACCUAGCCAAUGUAAUGAAGUAAGAUAAACAGUUUACUAUUGAAGAGAAAACACAGUUCUUGGCGGCAAACUAAGUAUCUACCUAGAAAUCUAGAGAUAAUUAAUCCUGAAAAAUGGUUAGAUCUAAUAAAGAGCAGCAGUCAUCCACUAAAAGACAUAUAUUAAACUUCUGAAAUAGCUUUUCCUAGUUCAUGAAACAACUAGUUAGUGACUCAGUCGGUUGAGCAUCUGCCUUUGGCUCAGAUCAUGAUCUUGGGGACCUGAGAUUAGGCCCCACUGGGCCCCAGGUCAGGCUCCCUGCUGGGUGGGGGAUCUGCUCCCUCUCUUCCUCUGCCCCUCCCCCCCACACUCGUGUGUGUGUGUGUGUGUGUGUGUGUGUGUGUGUGUGUGUGUGUGUGUGUGUGUACACUCUCAAAUC
Molecule: long non-coding RNA, 4623 nt
Filed under: Canis lupus familiaris (dog)
Lineage: Eukaryota; Metazoa; Chordata; Mammalia; Carnivora; Canidae
Description: lncRNA (ENSCAFG00845016595.1)
Source: RNAcentral